Molecule: long non-coding RNA, 378 nt
Organism: Erigeron canadensis
Lineage: Eukaryota; Viridiplantae; Streptophyta; Magnoliopsida; Asterales; Asteraceae
Exons: 3
Source: RefSeq, a predicted model, not a curated record
CAGAUACCUUCCAGAAUUCAUCACCCUGUUAGUCUUCAAAUACUGAGCAGGACUGCAAUUCCCAUACUUCACUCCCACAAACAAGAGGCUACUACACCUGUGAUCUUCAAAUGUCGAUGCGCUAUGGACAAUUUUCUUGCAGAGAUUAAAAUUAGAAGCUAUUCAACAUUAUGGAACCGUGCUCGCAAGUUGCUAACUCCUUUGUUUAUUUAUGUGUUUUACUUCCGGUUGUUUUGGGUGCUUCCCAAGUGGAUCUAUGUGGUUUCUUUAUUAUCGAUUUUCAAGGUUACACCCUUUGGAAAAUUAUCGAAAAGGAUGGAACCAGAAAACUUUGCAUUGGAUGAUUUGGUAGGUGUUGAGGAUGCCAAGGCUCUAUUU